CCCUCCUCAAGAUGAGAUUUCCCAUAACGUUAAGUUAGUAAGAGCCCUGAGAGAUGAUCAGGUAGAUAGGUUAGGAGUGGACGUGUGGUGACACAUGGAGCGGACUAAUACUAAUAGCUCGAGGACUUAUCCA
This 133-nucleotide ribosomal RNA is filed under the name Streptococcus equi. Its description in RNAcentral is "23S rRNA. Bacterial LSU". It matches the Rfam family "Bacterial large subunit ribosomal RNA", at positions 2793 to 2925 of the family's 2925-position model. Lineage: Bacteria; Bacillati; Bacillota; Bacilli; Lactobacillales; Streptococcaceae. The record is from RNAcentral.